GAUGAACGCUGGCGGCGUGCCUAAUACAUGCAAGUCGAGCGAACAGACGAGGAGCUUGCUCCUCUUACGUUAGCGGCGGACGGGUGAGUAACACGUGGAUAACCUACCUAUAAGACUGGGAUAACUUCGGGAAACCGGAGCUAAUACCGGAUAAUAUAUUGAACCGCAUGGUUCAAUAGUGAAAGACGGUUUUGCUGUCACUUAUAGAUGGAUCCGCGCCGCAUUAGCUAGUUGGUAAGGUAACGGCUUACCAAGGCAACGAUGCGUAGCCGACCUGAGAGGGUGAUCGGCCACACUGGAACUGAGACACGGUCCAGACUCCUACGGGAGGCAGCAGUAGGGAAUCUUCCGCAAUGGGCGAAAGCUUGACGGAGCAACGCCGCGUGAGUGAUGAAGGUCUUCGGAUCGUAAAACUCUGUUAUUAGGGAAGAACAAAUGUGUAAGUAAAUAUGCACGUCUUGACGGUACCUAAUCAGAAAGCCACGGCUAACUACGUG
RNAcentral lists this ribosomal RNA (497 nucleotides) under uncultured bacterium. RNAcentral describes it as "partial 16S ribosomal RNA". It matches the Rfam family "Bacterial small subunit ribosomal RNA", at positions 28 to 507 of the family's 1533-position model. The record is from RNAcentral.